AGUAAAGCCCAACUACAAAAGCAAGCCACCAUUCCUCUCACUUAGAGGCUUGUCGGGUAAAAGGUCUCUCAGCGAGUCCAAGUAAGUCUCCUAAAACCCUCAUUUCUCUCGAUUUCUGCUCAGAAAUCGCCAUUUCUUUCUUUAGUUCCAACCAUUUCAUCGAUUGAUGGCGAAAGGAGAUUCGAAAUUCUCGUUUCUCAGAUGUGCAGAUUUUGAUUCUUUUCACAUGUUUUCGAGCUGCUAGAAGACCUUAUCAUUCAGAUCCAGAUCCAAAUCCAUUCUCUCUCUCUCUCUCUCUCUCUCUCUCUCUCUCUCUCUCGAUUGGAAGAAGGAGAGCUGCUAGAAGACCUCCUUAUCAUUCAGAUCCAGAUCCAAAUUAGUUCAAGGUCAAGUCGUAUUUAUGUGUAUUUAUGUGUUUGACAUGCGAAAGAAUCCAAGAGCUGUCUUGAAAUGAGGGUUGCAGAUUGGAAAAAGGCGAUGCCAAGAACAACCACCUAUUGAGUUCUCUAUUGCUCAGUUUUGGUUUCUAGAGUGACUACUUGUCGUCCAUGGGCACUGGUGCUAUAAGAGGAUUACCCAAAUGGAGGUUGAGGAAGAUCAUCUCCAUCCUCUCAAGCGACCAGCCUCCCUGCCCUUAGUUGUUUCUGUACAGCACAGCUGACAAGGUCAUUCCAACUAGGUCAGCAAAGUCUUUUAUUCAGGAGCAGAAGAAAUUUGGGAGAAAGGUGAAACCGAAUGCAAUGGUUAAGGACACAGCUUUCUUGGGGGCAUCGCUUUCUGAUCAUCUCAAACCUAACUUCAAUCCUUUUAUCAUGAAGAAACCCCAAACUGAAACUAAUACAAAAUUGGAUUAGUCCCAUCUUGUAGCUAGCAAGCCAGAGCUACCUGUUGAGGUUGCAGGGCCUGCUACGCACAAUUCGAAUGGAGAAUGCUAGUAGAGGCAAUGAUGACAUUAGCUUGGAAGCAGCAGAAGAUGGACGGGCAGUGUUAUCUCAGGGUCCGCCAAGCACGAUGGCACCGGUGAUGAUGGGCGCGACCAUGACUUUGUAUUAUUUGUGGAACCUAAUGUUGUGUAAUAGUUUGAUUGAGUUAAACUUUAAAUAGACUGUUGUUAACUGCUUUGUUGGUA
This is a long non-coding RNA of Magnolia sinica, 1129 nucleotides long. RefSeq lists it as uncharacterized. Lineage: Eukaryota; Viridiplantae; Streptophyta; Magnoliopsida; Magnoliales; Magnoliaceae. The record is from RefSeq and is a predicted model, not a curated record. The transcript has 7 exons.